GACGUGUUUGCGGGAGAGACCGAGUUCCACUUUUGUGCAACCGGCGCCGACGGAGCAACUGCCCCGGAAACUCUCAGGCAAAAGGACCGCUAACACGAU
RNAcentral lists this non-coding RNA (99 nucleotides) under Marinobacter sp. Its description in RNAcentral is "Glycine sequence". It matches the Rfam family "Glycine riboswitch aptamer". Rfam says of the family: This family represents the bacterial glycine riboswitch. Glycine riboswitches usually consist of two metabolite-binding aptamers domains with similar structures in tandem. The aptamers cooperatively bind glycine to regulate the expression of downstream genes. Lineage: Bacteria; Pseudomonadati; Pseudomonadota; Gammaproteobacteria; Pseudomonadales; Marinobacteraceae. RNAcentral also lists the same sequence under 1 other name. The record is from RNAcentral.